Small nucleolar RNA from Grammomys surdaster, 126 nucleotides. RefSeq annotates it as small nucleolar RNA SNORA17. NCBI's taxonomy places the organism in Eukaryota, Metazoa, Chordata, Mammalia, Rodentia, Muridae. The transcript has a single exon. The record is from RefSeq and is a predicted model, not a curated record.
ACCUUUCUUAAAAGCUGAGCCCAUGCUGUGUCACGUAUGCGUCAGUAGGUGGCAGAGAGGAGAGAGCUUCUGUCUACUCUCAGUGUUCUGACCAGAGAACAUCUGAAGGGUUAGUAGCCUAACAUU